This 2011-nucleotide unclassified non-coding RNA is filed under the name Cotesia glomerata. Its description in RNAcentral is "uncharacterized LOC123262655, transcript variant X2". The record is from RNAcentral. Lineage: Eukaryota; Metazoa; Arthropoda; Insecta; Hymenoptera; Braconidae.
ACUCUCACUGACGGUUAAACUGUCCGUGGUGGCCCACCAGACGGUCGGUCAUGUCCGUAUUUUAAUUUAUAUACUUAGAUAUACAUUAUAUAUUCUAUCUGUUCUAUCUCUAGUGACCAUCUACUCCUAAAACACUCUUUAGUCAGCUUGUUUUUUUAUUUAUUUAUUUCUUCUUCUUUUUCUUCUUCAUCUUCAGAGCCAGUGUUUGCUCGUGACAGUGCCAAAUAAUUAUUUUGUGUUUCGCGGGUUUUUUUUUCAAAUUUUUAUUUUUUUGUGUGGUGAUUUAUAAAUGACAGGACUUGAGAUUUUUAAUUGUAAAUAAGUCUGAGGAUUAUGAACGAGAUUGGUACAUGUGCUUGGUGACUGAGAUUUUUUUUAAUUAUCAGAAAUUACGUGCAUACAACUUCCUGUUAAUUUUUUGAGCUCCUCGAGAGUCGCUAACUGAAGGAGAAGAAGGAGGAAGAGGAAGAGGAGUGGAGAGAAGAUGGUGUCGAGGCGAAAAAUUCUCUCUCGCUCGCGGGACAACCUUGCUGAUUCCCAGUACGAUGAUCAGGAAGAGGAGGACGUUUGGUAUAAUUUAGAUAAGUUGUACAAGGACCACAUACAAGAGGUCCUGGACAAGUGGAACCAGAUAGACGACGAGAUAUGGGCUAAGGUAAUAGUCUUCGAGCGAAACAGAAGAGUCGCUAAAGCUUACGCCCGGGCACCAGUUCUCACGGUCAACGACUCCAUUGACGGUUUCGAUGGCUUUAGGAUAGGCCUCUGUGGUUUUGAUAACCCAAUGAGAGAUCCUAAAACAGAAGAGACUAAAAGACACAUCGACCUAGGAGUAAAAAUAAAAAUGGAUGACAAAGGGAAUAUCCUGAUAAAGAGACUGUGCAAAAGCAACGUUUACAUAAAGACUACACAUCCCGAAGAAAACGCGGUCGGCGCAGAGAUACUGAGAAAUUCUCAGGGUGCGUUGGAGUUUGAAAAACCAGGAAAAUUAUUCGACAUGGCUAAAUACGAACAGAAUUUAGAACGGGAGACCCGUCGCUCAUAUCCAGAUCGCAGAAGACUUGAAAAACAAUGUCUCAGUGCAAUCGUCUUCGUGAGAACAGAAGCUGAAUUGCUGAAGUGUCCUGUCUGGGUUCUUAUUGUCAACGUCGUUGGCUUGGAGUUGCUCAAAAGCAAACUCCCUAUAUUACCAGCGCUAAAGAGGUCUGUGGAUAUCAAAAAUCGACCAAGAAUUCCGAUACCUGACGAAGAUCCUUACAGCGUAGCUGGUGUUGCAUCGGCUUCUGGACCCAGUGAAUUACGCGAUGCAGUCAGAGAUCCACGGCAUGAACAGAUUUACGGCCAAUCAGCGGCUUAUCAUCGGCGACGUACUGAAAAACCGCCGAAACUUCCUCCCCGGGAGAAUCUUUACGGUCAAAAUAUUCCUAAGCCUGACUAUGACGAUAUCGAAGAUGAUUACGGCAGCAAUGGUGUGAGACCAGCGGUGGUAGUUACCGAGGAUUCGAAGAAGAAUAACAAAAAGAACGACAGAAAGAACGACGAUCCUUAUUACUGUGGUAUGAGGGCACGUGUACCAAAUUUUGUAAAAAUGGCAAAGAACAGCCAAAUAAGAAUACUUCCGGCGUAUGGAACGGGGAGACCGCAACCAGCACCAGCACAAACACAAAUAUCAGCCCCGGCGUACGUCGGUUACAACAGUAGUCAGUCUCAGUCAUCACAUAUUUAUGCGAGUCACGCACCAAACAGACGACCACCUAUUAUGUAUCACGCCCGUAGCUUCGAGAGUGGUUUAGGUACGUAGCUUUUAGGCGAACGUUAACAGCUAGGCUUUGACGAGAAGAAAUAAUAGUUUUAUCCUCGUCAUUAAGACUCAGACGAUCGGAUAGACUCGCCCUAUAAUCACAUUUACGGACGAUUACCCAUUCCAACACGCAGUUUUAUACCACCAGUACCCCGUGGCAUGUACAUCGGAGAGUGGGAUUAAAUAAUAACUUAUGACUAUUAAGCAACAUCA